RNAcentral lists this ribosomal RNA (497 nucleotides) under uncultured bacterium. RNAcentral describes it as "partial 16S ribosomal RNA". It matches the Rfam family "Bacterial small subunit ribosomal RNA", at positions 28 to 507 of the family's 1533-position model. The record is from RNAcentral.
GAUGAACGCUGGCGGCGUGCCUAAUACAUGCAAGUCGAGCGAACGGACGAGAAGCUUGCUUCUCUGAUGUUAGCGGCGGACGGGUGAGUAACACGUGGAUAACCUACCUAUAAGACUGGGAUAACUUCGGGAAACCGGAGCUAAUACCGGAUAAUAUUUUGAACCGCAUGGUUCAAAAGUGAAAGACGGUCUUGCUGUCACUUACAGAUGGAUCCGCGCUGCAUUAGCUAGUUGGUAAGGUAACGGCUUACCAAGGCAACGAUGCAUAGCCGACCUGAGAGGGUGAUCGGCCACACUGGAACUGAGACACGGUCCAGACUCCUACGGGAGGCAGCAGUAGGGAAUCUUCCGCAAUGGGCGAAAGCCUGACGGAGCAACGCCGCGUGAGUGAUGAAGGUCUUCGGAUCGUAAAACUCUGUUAUUAGGGAAGAACAUAUGUGUAAGUAACUGUGCACAUCUUGACGGUACCUAAUCAGAAAGCCACGGCUAACUACGUG